GUAGGGGGCGAGCGUUAUCCGGAUUCACUGGGUGUAAAGGGAGCGUAGACGGCCAAGCAAGCCAGGGGUGAAAGCCCGGGGCCCAACCCCGGGACUGCCCUUGGAACUGCAUGGCUGGAGUGCGGGAGGGGCAGGCGGAAUUCCUGGUGUAGCGGUGAAAUGCGUAGAUAUCAGGAGGAACACCGGCGGCGAAGGCGGCCUGCUGGACCGCGACUGACGUUGAGGCUCGAAAGCGUGGGGAGCGAA
This 246-nucleotide ribosomal RNA is filed under the name uncultured bacterium. RNAcentral's name for it is "partial 16S ribosomal RNA". It matches the Rfam family "Bacterial small subunit ribosomal RNA", at positions 527 to 772 of the family's 1533-position model. The record is from RNAcentral.